RNAcentral lists this ribosomal RNA (459 nucleotides) under uncultured bacterium. RNAcentral describes it as "partial 16S ribosomal RNA". It matches the Rfam family "Bacterial small subunit ribosomal RNA", at positions 338 to 795 of the family's 1533-position model. The record is from RNAcentral.
CCUACGGGGGGCAGCAGUGAGGAAUAUUGGUCAAUGGGCGCGAGCCUGAACCAGCCAAGUCGCGUGAGGGAAGACGGUCCUAUGGAUUGUAAACCUCUUUUGUCGGGGAGCAAAAGACGCCACGCGUGGCGUUCCGAGAGUACCCGAAGAAAAAGCAUCGGCUAACUCCGUGCCAGCAGCCGCGGUCAUACGGAGGAUGCGAGCGUUAUCCGGAUUUAUUGGGUUUAAAGGGUGCGCAGGCGGAAGAUCAAGUCAGCGGUAAAAUUGAGAGGCUCAACCUCUUCGAGCCGUUGACACUGGUGUUCUUGAGUGAGCGAGAAGUAUGCGGAAGGCGUGGUGUAGCGGUGAAAUGCAUAGAUAUCACGCAGAACUCCGAUUGCGAAGGCAGCAUACCGGCGCUCAACUGACGCUCAUGCACGAAAGUGUGGGUAUCGAACAGGAUUAGAUACCCUUGUAGUC